RNAcentral lists this long non-coding RNA (1937 nucleotides) under Sus scrofa (pig). RNAcentral's name for it is "lncRNA (ENSSSCG00055011363.1)". Lineage: Eukaryota; Metazoa; Chordata; Mammalia; Artiodactyla; Suidae. The record is from RNAcentral.
GCAUGAGCCCCAUGUACAGCUCGAGCCCAAAGUGUGAGGCAAGACUUUGGAGGAGGGAUGACCAGCAGCAGUUUCUGGGACCCCUGAUGCUCUUUAGGCCGAGGGGCCUGCACUGGAAUGGAGUCCACUGAAGGGGUGGUUGUUUUUCACCUCAGGGGAAUCAGAGUGUGCAAUGUGGGAAAGUGUGUGGCAGAGUACAUGGUGCUGAACUAGGGUGUGUGUGGUAACAUUUUAUUAAGCAUAGAUCUGUAUCUGAUGUAUUUCUGUACUGCUAAUUUGGAGAUUUUACUUGAAAUGAUAAUAGCAUCAUGACUUAAUUGCAUUUUUUUUCUUUUUUCUUUUCUUUUUUUUUUUUUUUUUUUUNUUUAUUUUAUUUACUUUUUCCUCUUUUUAGGGCUAUACUCAUGGCAUAUGGAGGUUCCCAGGCUAGGGGUCAAAUUAGAGCUGUAGCCACUGGCCUACGCCAGAGCCACAGCAACACAGGAUCUGAGCCGCUUCUGCAACCUAUACCAUAGGUCAUGGCAACGCUGAUCCUUAACCCACUGAGCAAGGCCAGGGUUCGAACCCCCAACAUCAUGGUUCUUAGUCAGAUUCGUUAACCACUGAACCACGAUGGGAACUCCUUGGCUUAAGGGAAGUUUAAUACAUCCAGGCUUCUGCUGGAGGCCCCAUAGCUCCUUCUUUUUCCUUUGAAACCAAAGUCUUACAUGAAUUAUUUUCCUAUUUACUCUAAGCAGGGUUCUCCAACCUUGGCACUAUUGACAUUUUGGGGUGGAUAAUCUUUGUUGUGGAGGCUGUCCUGUGUGUCGUAGGAUGUUUAUCAUUUUUCUUGGCUACUAGGAUACCAGGAGCAACCUCCAGUUCUGACAACCAAAAAUGUCUCCAUGCACAGGCCUUUCAGUUCACACUUCGCAUUUAACUGAGAGCUGCCACCCACCAGAGAGGGAACCAGGGUCAUUCAGACAGAGAAGGUUUCUGUUCUCACAGAGUCUACACAGGGGUUGGGGAGAAGGUGGGGGAGGGGUAGAGGGAAGGUGGAAAUGAACACAGUAAAGAUAUCAGCCACCUAACCUAUCAGGUUUGAUGAGCAUGAUUCUUCUGUAGAUUAGCCCUCAUGGAGAUUCGGACACUAAUGCGACUUGUGGAGAGAAUUUAGCUUACAUGUUCUGUGAGCAUUUAGAAAACUGAAUGACAAACAAAAUGAACCGUAAGUCCCCUCCCCAUCCUUUUACAGAAGACAUAGUUAUUUAAUGAUCUCACAACCUGAUCAGAGAUGCUCUUAUGCAUCUUGAAUACAAAACUCAGGUGGGAGUCUCUUGAAUUCUUGAAGAAACAAAGCUCAAAUAUAUGAGAAUAUAAAUCACAAAAAUCUUGAAACAUUUCCUGUAAUAGUUUAUUUGUAAACCAAGUAAGCCUGUCUGUCUCUAAUUCUUCCCCUCCCUUUCUCUCUAAACCAGUCUAUCUUUUCACCUGGCUGCUCCACUGGAACCUUUUCUUUUUUUUUUUUCUUUUUGGUCUUUUUAGGGCGACACCCAUGGAAUAUGGAGGUUCCCAGGCCAGGGGUUGAAUUGGAGUUGUAGCCUUCAGCCUGCACCACAGCCACAGCAACGCCAGAUCUGAGCCACAUCUGCAACCUACACCACAGCUCACGGCAAUGCCAGAUCCUUACCUGCUGAGCAAGGCCAGAGAUCAGACUCCCGUCCUCAUAGAUACUAGUCAGCCGUCCUCAUAGAUACUAGUCAGAUUCUUAACUUGCUGAGCCGCAAUGGGAAAUCCCCUAAGAGUUUUUAAGAUGGGCAUACACAUUCCCUGGUGGUUCAGCGUCUUAAGUACCCAGCAUUGCCAAAGCCUCAUGUAUUUAACUAUAUAAAAACUAACAUUUCCCCUUGGGAAAGACUCUUUUAACAUGAACAAGACAAGAUUAUAGGACAAAAAAA